AGGAAAUUAGCUCAAUUGGUAGAGCAACCCUUUUACACAGGGUAGGUUAUGGGUUCGAAUCCUGUAUUUCCUA
Molecule: transfer RNA, 73 nt
Filed under: Phyllosticta yuccae
Lineage: Eukaryota; Fungi; Ascomycota; Dothideomycetes; Botryosphaeriales; Phyllostictaceae
Description: tRNA-Val
Rfam family: tRNA
About the family: Transfer RNA (tRNA) molecules are approximately 80 nucleotides in length.
Source: RNAcentral